GCCUAUUCUAUUCAUUCACAUUUUGAUGUC
This 30-nucleotide non-coding RNA is filed under the name Mus musculus (house mouse). Lineage: Eukaryota; Metazoa; Chordata; Mammalia; Rodentia; Muridae. The record is from RNAcentral.